Non-coding RNA from Schistosoma rodhaini, 79 nucleotides. The record is from Rfam. Lineage: Eukaryota; Metazoa; Platyhelminthes; Trematoda; Strigeidida; Schistosomatidae.
AGCCUUCUAUAUCCGUGCUGAGAUUUUGUCAAACACCAGACUACAAGGGCUGAUGAGACUCCCAAGGCAAUACAUGAUA